CAAAGGUAGCAUAAUCAUUUGUCCACUAAUUAUGGCUAGUAUGAAAGGCAAAAUGAGGGUUUAACUGUCUCUUAUAGUAAGUCAAUUAAACUGAUCUACCAGUAAAAAAGCUGGAAUAAACACACAAGACCAGAAGACCCUGUGAAGCUUAAACUAAACUGUUAAACCACAUAACACCUACUUUCGGUUGGGGCGACCUUGGAAAAAAAAAGAACUUCCAAACUAAUGACAUUAAUCAUCCCCAGGCCAACAAGCCACAUACGACCCAGCACAUCUGACAAUUGAACCAAGUUACCCAGGGAUAACAGCGCCAUCUUCUUCAAGAUCCAUAUCAAAAAGAAGGUUUACGACCUCGAUGUUGGAU
This 364-nucleotide ribosomal RNA is filed under the name Erythrolamprus pygmaeus (Amazon tropical forest snake). RNAcentral's name for it is "partial 16S ribosomal RNA". It matches the Rfam family "Bacterial large subunit ribosomal RNA", at positions 1951 to 2537 of the family's 2925-position model. The record is from RNAcentral. Lineage: Eukaryota; Metazoa; Chordata; Lepidosauria; Squamata; Dipsadidae.